Long non-coding RNA from Eurytemora carolleeae, 312 nucleotides. RefSeq lists it as uncharacterized. Lineage: Eukaryota; Metazoa; Arthropoda; Copepoda; Calanoida; Temoridae. The transcript is spliced from 4 exons. The record is from RefSeq and is a predicted model, not a curated record.
AUUCCCCUGCUGUUAAUCAGUGGAAAAGUGCUUGUGUGAGCAGCAAGAAAUAUACCUGGGAUGAACAACUGACUGCUGCCAGUCUUCAGAUGAUACAGAAUGCUCUUCUUCUCAAGAGAAGAUGGAGAAUCAUAAUCUGCACUGUGAGGGCCUGUGUUCGUGCAAUGGAGUCGAAACAUGAUGAUUUGAAAAUUCGAGGCCCUUCUGUGGACUAUAUAGUACAAGCUUUUAAACCAGUUUGUUCUAAGAAGGUUAAGAUGACUACUGGAAGGGCUCAAAGUGCUUUGAAAAUGCUGUCUACAAUUUCAUUAG